Molecule: long non-coding RNA, 3137 nt
Organism: Oncorhynchus tshawytscha (Chinook salmon)
Lineage: Eukaryota; Metazoa; Chordata; Actinopteri; Salmoniformes; Salmonidae
Source: Ensembl
CACAAAUCUCAAUUUAAAUUCAGGCUGUAACAUAACAAAAUGUGUAAAAAGUCAAGGGGUGUAACUACUUUCUGAAGGCACUCUAUUAGUGUGAAAACUACUACUUUUGACAUGAAUGGAUGCAGACGUAACGAUGGCCAUUAUUUAUAAACUAAAAGCGAGUGUUUCCACAUCCCAUUCUACUCAGUGGCUAUCAGUUUCCCUUUCCUUUGAAUACAGUUUGGGUCAGUAGGGUAAGGGUUAGUCGUUUUCUACUCUCUGCGGUGGAUGGGAUGGUUACUGCCGAUAGUAAAUCAAAUUGGAUCUAACAGGAUACAGAUUUUGAGAUCUCAAAUGCAUUGUUUCAUUUCAAGCUGAAACAAAACACACGGCUCGGCUGACUCACUUUAUCUGUGUUUGCCAUGUUAGUGUAGUGCUCUUUCAUUUGUAUUAUUGUUCUAGAACUCUGUGGUGGGUAGAUAAAAGGAGCAUGCAUGGUGACAAUGUAUUUCACGGCCAGAGAGUUAGCCAUUUGCCAGAUGAAGGCAAAUCCACACCCAAGCAUAAUCUUCCAAAGCCAAGACCUAGGUUCAGAAACAAUUUGAGAUCAUUUCAAAUAACUGCACUUGAUUGAGCUUACCGGUUGCAAUGGAACCAAAAAGGUCCCAAAAGUACAAGCCCCGCCCACCUGGCACUCCAGGCAGGCACUAAAGCAAUCACUCAAACUAUUUGAAAGAGAGAGUUCAAAUGGCAUUUGAACCCAGGUCCGCCGCAGCAUUUUUGCAGCCAACAGGGUUAAUAAGUUCAUCAGUACCACAUCUAGGCGGUGCCAGCAGGGUUAUAAAGCAGCCUUUUACUACUGUUGGUUCAGCAACAACAUGCUAGCUAGGAGGCAGGUCCUGGCCCUCAUAGGUCGAGAGAGAGGGAGAGCUGUGUGAGCUGUGUACUUACUUCCAAUGCAUUCAGUGCAGACAGGGUAAAUGAACACAUUUUUUAGGACAAGCCAGGAACAUCGUGUUCCUGCUCUCUGUAGCUAGUUAGAGUGUGACGUCUGCUGGCACUCUGCCUAGCAGGGCCAAGUUGAUUCAAAUCAGAAAGCGUGCUGCUGGGCUGCUGCUGCGUGGGCUACGGUGGGUGGCUGACAGGGUAGGGGGCUGGUAGGCUGCAUUGGGGUGGGGUGAGUGGCUGACAGGGAAUGGGGCUGGUAGGCUGGGGUGGGUGGCUGACAGGGUAGGGGGCUGGUAGGCUGCACUGGGGUGGGGUGAGUCGCUGACAGGGAAGGGGGCUGGUAGACUGGGGUGGAUGGCUGACAGGGAAGGGGGCUGGUAGGCUGCACUGGGGUGGGGUGAGUGGCUGACAGGGAAGGGGACUGGGGUGGGGUGGGUGGCUGACAGGGAAGGGGGCUGGUAGGCUGCACUGGGGUGGGGUGAGUGGCUGACAGGGAAGGGGACUGGGGUGGGGUGGGUGGCUGACAAGGAAGGGGGCUGGUAUGCUGGUCUUGUCUGCACAUGACAGGGUGGAGAGAGAGUGUCUUGGAUUUUUCCACAUGGGAACCUAUAUCCAGGUGUGCUGUGUGUGCCGAACAAAACAGUAGUAAAACACAGUGUUCUGUUAUUGUUAGUGUAACAGCAUGUUCCUUUGUGCCCACCCUUUAUAAUUCCACAUAAGUUCCUUAAUCCUCAUUGAUGACAGUUUAAGAGAGGUUUUUGAUCCUAUUGUACAUAAUACUUGAUUUGCAAUAAUAUGCCACAUAAAAGGCAUCCAAGUGUUGGAUCAAAUAUUUGAAUGAAGGAAAAGACCUGCCAAAACAAUGACAGUUGGAAUGAACAUAUUACAUUGAUAUCAUGGUAUGAUGUGUAAAGCUCUUAAUAAUAGACCAAUGGCAGACACUGACAUCUCCAACUACCCGUCUGAUGGGGAGGGAGAAGGAAAGAGCAAUGACACCCUGACCCAGAGCAGACUGGAAGCUGGGGUUGUUGCUGAGUGUCCUAUUCAGACUGGAGGCUGGGGUUGUUGCUGAGUGUCCUAUGCAGACUGGAGGCUGGGGUUGUUGCUGAAUGUCCUAUGCAGACUGGAGGCUGGGGUUGUUCCUGAGUGUCCUAUGCAGACUGGAGGCUGGGGUUGUUGCUGAGUGUCCUAUGCAGACUGGAGGCUGGGGUUGUUGCUGAAUGUCCUAUGCAGACUGGAGGCUGGGGUUGUUCCUGAGUGUCCUAUGCAGACUGGAGGCUGGGGUUGUUGCUGAGUGUCCUAUGCAGACUGGAGGCUGGGGUUGUUGCUGAGUGUCCUAUGCAGACUGGAUGCUGGGGUUGUUCCUGAGUGUCCUAUGCAGACUGGAUGCUGGGGUUGUUGCUGAGUGUCCUCUGCAGACUGGGGAGGGAGAGGGCAGCAGAUGGUCGGUCACUGACUGGGUCAGGUCCACUCUGGCAGUGCGGCAGACGCCCCAGAAACAUACAGACAGGAACUCCAAGGACCCAUAGGACUCCAACAAAAAGAAAAGGACAUUUCAAAGGUUUGAAGACUGAAGACAAAAUUAACAUUUUCCAUACAUACACUUAGGUUGGAGUCAUUAAAACUCGUUUUUCAACCACUCCACACAUUUCUUGUUAACAAACUAAGUCAUUUUUCCAAAAAUUGUUUACAGACAGAUUAUUUCACUUAUAAUUCACUGUAUCACAAUUCCGUAGGUCAGAAGUUUACAUACACUACGUUGACUAUGCCUUUAAACAGCUUGGAAAAUUCCAGAAAAUGUUGUCAUUGUUUAGAAGCUUCUGAUAGUCUAAUUGACAUAAUUUGAGUUAAUUAGAGGUGUACCUGUGGAUGUAUUUCAAGGUCUACCUUCAAACUCGGUGCCUCUGUAGUUGACAUCAUGGGAAAAUCAAAAUGAAUCAGCCAAGACCUUAGAAAAACAAAUUGUAGACCUCCACAAGUCUGGUUCAUCCUUGGGAGCAAUUUCCAAAUGACUGAAGGUACCAUGUUCAUCUGUACAAACAAUAGUACGCAAGUAUAAACGCCAUGGGACCACACAGCUGUCAUUCCGCUCAGGAAGGAGACGCGUUCUAUCACCUAGAGAUGAACGUACUUUGGUGCGAAAAGUGCAAAUCAAUCCCAGAACAAUAGCAAAGGACCUUGUGAAGAUGCUGGAGGAAACAGGUACAAAA